UCUGUAUCCUCUCAUGGCAGCUCCUCCCCUGUGGCACAAGCAAGGUCAACUGCGGCUGGAUGAGACUCAAAAAAUGGUGGUCAUCGGGCUGGGCACCGGCUGCUUAUGUGUUGUACGCCUUGGGCGUCCCUGUGCUGGUGAUGAGCGUGAUGGCCGUGCAUUGACCUGCAUCGCCUGUCCGAACUGUGCCGGCCAUGCGUCCGACGACCUCGUCCAUCCCUGAUCACCUCUUCCGCGCAAUCAGCCGCACAUACACAGACAUGCUUGUGCUGUAUUAUACUUGAACUUCAGAGCUUCUGAACUCUCUGAAUCGGUGUGCAUGUUUUUAUAUUGUGUCAUUGCAUAGCUCCACCACUGAAUUUGGAAAUUCAGUCAAUGCUUAAACUUGAUAAAAAAGAGCAAGAAACAGUGACAGAUUAUGUGUGUUUUUCACGGAAGUGAGCUGGGAAUUUAGAUGUUCCUUUUCAUAAUAUUAAGGGCGUCGAUCAUUCAACUA
This is a non-coding RNA of Aegilops tauschii subsp. strangulata, 496 nucleotides long. The record is from RefSeq and is a predicted model, not a curated record. NCBI's taxonomy places the organism in Eukaryota, Viridiplantae, Streptophyta, Magnoliopsida, Poales, Poaceae.